Molecule: ribosomal RNA, 431 nt
Filed under: uncultured bacterium
Lineage: Bacteria
Description: bacterial SSU rRNA
Rfam family: Bacterial small subunit ribosomal RNA
Source: RNAcentral
UACGGGAGGCAGCAGUGGGGAAUCUUGCGCAAUGGGCGAAAGCCUGACGCAGCCAUGCCGCGUGGAUGAUGAAGGUCUUAGGAUUGUAAAAUCCUUUCACCGGUGAAGAUAAUGACUGUAGCCGGAGAAGAAGCCCCGGCUAACUUCGUGCCAGCAGCCGCGGUAAUACGAAGGGGCUAGCGUUGCUCGGAAUUACUGGGCGUAAAGGGAGCGUAGGCGGACAUUUAAAGUCAGGGGUGAAAUCCCAGAGCUCAACUCUGGAACUGCCUUUUGAUACUGGGUGUCUUGAGUGUGAUAGAGGUAUGUGGAACUCCGAGUGUAGAGGUGAAAUUCGUAGAUAUUCGGAAGAACACCAGUGGCGAAGGCGACAUACUGGAUCAUUACUGACGCUGAGGCUCGAAAGCGUGGGGAGCAAACAGGGAUUAGAUACC